Molecule: long non-coding RNA, 285 nt
Filed under: Pongo abelii (Sumatran orangutan)
Lineage: Eukaryota; Metazoa; Chordata; Mammalia; Primates; Hominidae
Description: lincRNA
Source: RNAcentral
GGCAAGAAUGUUUUCUAAGACCGCGAACUCCAGAUUUGCGAUGUGGCAAAUCCUGAAGCGUACAUGGAUAUCUCUCACAGCUAAAGUAUCCCUCACCCCUACCCAGUGCUUCUUACCCCUGGCGCGAGAGAAUCACCUGCGGGGAGGAAAACUUUCAAAAUCCCUUAAACCCAAGUUGUAACCGAUCAAUUAAAUCAGAAUCCUUGCAGUUGGAUCUGAAAAAAAUACGGUUUAAAGUUGUGCAGGUGAUUACAAUGUGUAGGCACGCCACAAAACCAUGGGUUU